AGUGUGGGCGUGGCUCAGUCUCUGCAAGAUGGGGGAGGGAGAGGAUCAAGACUGAGCUGGAAAUCUACAGAACACUGAGAAUACUGACGUGGCCACCUGAUCUCUGUCAGCUGCAUAAAUAGUCCCUUUGCUGGUGAAUGCUCACCCCAGCCUGUUGGACAUCUCUGUAGAGAAGCCGACUCGUUUCUGAACAUGUUUCGACUGGUAUUUGUAACAAAUCGAGUUGCCUGUCUUUGGACAUUGGAAGAAAUGUUUCUAUUUGUGUAUGGAUCCCAUGCUGCAACUGCACAGUCCAAAUGUGGUCUAACGAGGGUCGAAGUACAAAGUGAACUUCGGAACACGGCAACUGUUUCAUUCAGCGAGUGUGAAUUUUGUACAACUCAAAAGCAACAUUGUUUAAAGAAUGGCUCACUUUCUUUCUUCUCUGCCAGCGCUAUUGUGCGCGUGUCAAAGGAGCAUCUCUGCCAUCCAUCAGUUUGAUGGCAUCGUCUAGGACUUCCCACAUUGACAAGAUAAGUUGCAGCACUCCCCCCAGACAGGUAUGUAACUGGGGAGAGUGCAACACUGCAGAACAGAGGCCUGAAGAUCACAGAAAAUGUUUGUCCCACAGACAACACACAGGCAUGGCCAUCACCUUUGACAUGAAAUGUUGAAUAGGAGUUUGUUUUCUAAUUUCCAUGGUUCAUUUUUAGGCCACAAAAUGUAAAUACCAGUAAACACACUGCAAUGGUUUCAAAGGAAUAAAAUGCAAAAGAGUCCCAUUAGAAGUACUUCAAGAGUGUUCAUGUCAGAAUCAAUCAGACUUCAGGCCCACUUGAACUGAUCUAAGGAAAAGUGGUUGGAAAAUGAGUUUAGAGUACAAUUACAAAGAGGUGAAAAGUUUAAGAACCAGUGGUUCAGAACCAACUGGCUUGAUGUACUUACAACCGAGGCAUUUUAAGGCAGUUCAAUGAGCUGAAGCACUCCUCCAUUUGUAGGACAAUAAGAUGCUACAUUUUUAGUAAAAUUAGGUAAGAUAAUUGUUUCUCAUUGUAAAUUCUAAACAUAAUACAGCAAAUCGUUUAAAAAUACAUCAUCUUGACUUCAGACUUUAGAGAUACUGUAUGGAAACUGGCCGUUCGGUUCAUCGAGGCUUGGCCGACCAGCGAUCACCCCGUACACUAGCGCUAUCCUACACACUAGGGACAAUUUACAAUUUACAGAAACCAGUUAACCUACAAACCUGAACGUCUUUGGUGUGUGGCAGGAAACCGGAGCACCUGGAGAAAACCCACGUGGUCACACAGAGAACGUACAAACUCCGUACAGACAGCGCCCGUAGUCAGGAUCAAACCGGGAUCUCUGGCGCUGUAAGGCAGCAACUCUACCGCUGCGCCACAGUGCCUUGCCAGUUGCUAACAAUCUAUUCAUACAAAGUAGCCCAGCAUCACUCAGUUCUUUUUGGUUCUGCUCUAUUAUUUUUAAACAUUGACCAUUUUAUAUUUUUAAGUAAAAAUGCGGACCUUUGUUCUGAUAACUCGAUAAUUAUUUCAAGAUCCUUCAUAUCUUAUCUUGAUGGUUUGAGCAAAAUACCAGAUAGACCAGGGGAAAAUGACAAUUUAUAUGGUUAAAGCCCUUUAUUGAUAUGUAAAGUUUGUAUGAUUGAAUGCUGCAGUAUUUUUCAAAACUGAUUACAUAUAAACCUAAAUCUGAAGGGUAAAAUGAGCUCCAUAACAGUAUAUGAUAAUAAAAUGUUAUGAAACUAAUGUAGAGUCUCGUGUAUAGUUCAGCAUUAUUCUCAUUACCAAAGUUACAAUGCCAGAAGGAACUCUGCACAAAUCUUAAAAUUCGUCAUAUUUUAUCAGCAAUGUCAUAACAAUAAUGUAUUGACUGGUAUGAGGAUAGUCAUAGGUAUACGGCAGUGUCAUAUCUUGGAUAAAGAAGUGAAUAUAUUUUGUGGGGAAGCAUUCAACCAUAAUAGAUCCAGAACAAAAUCUGUACUGGAUCCAUUUUGAAUGAGUAACCUAUGCGAUUUGAACUGGUGCAGGACAUUCCUGAAACUGAUGUAUGCACUGCAUCAUAUAACCAGUGCCAACUAAGUAGUGUUGAACUUUGACACAUUUCCAUGUGGUCAUGUUGGGAAUCGCUGGCAUGAGGAGACAGAAAUCAAUUAAAAGUAACGUUUUUUUAUGCCUCCAAGAGUGGCACGAUGGCACAGCGGUAGAGUUGCUGCCUUACAGCGUCAGAGACCCGGGUUCGAUCCUGACUACGAGUGCUGUCUGUACUGAGUUUGGAUGUUCCCCCCGUGAUCAAGUGGGUUUUCUCCGAGAUCUUCGGUUUCCUCCCACUCUCCAAAGACGUACAGGUUAGUAGGUUAAUUGGAUUGGUAUGUGCAAAUUGUCCCUGGAAUGUUGGAUAGUGUCAAAGUGCAGGGAUUGCUGGUCAGUGUGCAUUUGGUGGGCACUGUAUCUCUAAACUAAACUAAACUAAACUGCAACCGGUCAUUCAACUAACCAUAAAGACCAUAUGACAAUAAGCAGAAUUAGGCCAUUUGGCCCAUCGAUUAUGCUCCACCAUUUAAUCAUGGCUGGUCUAUUUUUACCUCUCAACCCCAUUCUCCUGCCUUCUCCCCGUAACCUUUGACGCCCUUAUUAAUCAAGAACCCAUCAAUUUCCGCUUUAAAGAUACCCAAUGACUUGGCUUGCACAGCCAUCUGUGGCAAAGGACUCCACAGAUUCACCACCCUACAUGUUGCGGAUGUGCACUUUGCAGCCACUGUGUACCAAUGGUGAAGGAAAUAAAUGGUGGUUGUUGGGUACCAGUCAAAUGGGAUGCUUUGUCCUGAAUGGUGUUGGACUUCAUGAGAGGUGUUGGAGCUGUAUUCAUCUAGGGAAGUGGACAAUAUUCAAUGAGGCUUCCGAUCUAUGCCUUGUAAGAUGGCAGACAGACCUUGUGGUGUCAGGGGGUGACUCCCUAGCCACUGAAUACAUAGCCUCAAAUUUUCUCUUGUGGACAUGGCUGGUUUAUUUGACUGUCUGGUCAAUGAUGUCUCCCAGGAUAUUGAUGAUGUGGGACACAAUGAUGAUCAUUUCAAUGAAUAUUAAGGGUGGGAGGGUUUGAUUCUUUCAGAUUGGAGAUGGAGAUUGCCUGGUCAUUUAGGUAGUGCAAAUGUUACUUUAAUUUAUCAGGUCAUCAGCUCUUAGACAUGCUGCAAGCAGAUAUGGACUAUAUUAAUUGCUGAAAUGGUUUGGGUUUAGUUUUAGUUUAGCUCAUUUUCAAGUCUACUGAGGUACAGUGAAAAGCUUUUUUUGUGUUUUCAGAAAGACUACACAUGAUUACAAUCGAGCCAUCCACAGUGUACUGAUACAUGAUAAAGGGAAUAAAGUUUAGUGCAAGAUAAAGUCCAGUAAA
This is a long non-coding RNA of Leucoraja erinaceus (little skate), 3390 nucleotides long. RefSeq lists it as uncharacterized. The record is from RefSeq and is a predicted model, not a curated record. The transcript is spliced from 4 exons. NCBI's taxonomy places the organism in Eukaryota, Metazoa, Chordata, Chondrichthyes, Rajiformes, Rajidae.